GCGCACCAGGCGCGAAUCCUCCGCAAUACACGAAAGUGUGACGGGCCAUCCCGAGUGCCGUCCGCUGAGGACGGCUUUUCCCCAGUGUACACAGCUGGGGGAAUAAGGAGAGGGCAAGCCUGGUGUCAGCCGCCGCGGUAAUACCAGCUCUCCGAGUGGUGGGGACGCUUAUUGGGCCUAAAGCAUCCGUAGCCGGCUGGGC
This 202-nucleotide ribosomal RNA is filed under the name uncultured microorganism. RNAcentral's name for it is "partial 16S ribosomal RNA". It matches the Rfam family "Archaeal small subunit ribosomal RNA", at positions 330 to 534 of the family's 1478-position model. The record is from RNAcentral.